Molecule: long non-coding RNA, 697 nt
Organism: Alligator mississippiensis (American alligator)
Lineage: Eukaryota; Metazoa; Chordata; Crocodylia; Alligatoridae
Exons: 3
Source: RefSeq, a predicted model, not a curated record
AUCCGCCAUUACGUCACUGUGCUAUGCUGUGAUGUCAUCAGCAGCUGACUGCAGCACUUCUGGGAUGCGGAGUGAGGGCGGGAUUGGGGGCUCUUGGUAUUGGCUUUCCCUCGCUACGGGCUGGGGGCUCCCGGCUCCCUGCCAGUCCCUGGAGCCAAAGUUGCCACGAAGCCGCAUGACUGCGGGAGCGGAGGCCGCGAGCUAGCACUCCCUGUCCCGAGGGUCACAAUUCAAUGGGGAGAGCUGGCACCGCAGCCGCUGCUCGCCGUGCCUCGUCCCCUGGUGUCGCUAUGUGGUGCGUAAAGCUGCUGGGCUGAGCUGGGGCAGAAUGGGAGAGCACUGACUGGAGGCAGGAGACCACACUGAAGUGUAGUGGGUCAUAAUUUAAGAAGGGCAGUGAAGACUUCAGAGCAAGCAAGCCAAGAGAUUGGACAGUGGAGGCAUAUGUGAACAAGGCACAAAGACAACCCUCCCUCCUCAGAACAGGCUGUUCUAGAUCAAAUGAGAAGGAAGAAAGCUGUCCCAGUUUUGUAACCUGGCAGUGGCACAAGAUGCACCUGUUUGGCUGAGGGUUGUUCUGUUCUGUUAGGAGUUACGCAGGGGGAUAUCUUGGAAAUGUCUGACUAACUGAAAGUUUGUACAGUCCUCUCAUCUUGGCUAUGGUGAAUUAAUAAAUACCUUGCUGUUGCAACAUUAA